RNAcentral lists this ribosomal RNA (467 nucleotides) under uncultured bacterium. RNAcentral's name for it is "partial 16S ribosomal RNA". It matches the Rfam family "Bacterial small subunit ribosomal RNA", at positions 28 to 507 of the family's 1533-position model. The record is from RNAcentral.
GACGAACGCUGGCGGCGUGCUUAACACAUGCAAGUCGAACGGAAAGGCUCCAGCUUGCUGGAGUACUCGAGUGGCGAACGGGUGAGUAACACGUGGGUAAUCUGCCCUGCACUCUGGGAUAAGCCUGGGAAACUGGGUCUAAUACUGGAUAUGACCUUUCUCCUUAUGGGGUUUGGUGGAAAGUUUUUCGGUGUAGGAUGAGCCCGCGGCCUAUCAGCUUGUUGGUGGGGUGAUGGCCUACCAAGGCGACGACGGGUAGCCGGCCUGAGAGGGUGAUCGGCCACAUUGGGACUGAGAUACGGCCCAGACUCCUACGGGAGGCAGCAGUGGGGAAUAUUGCACAAUGGGCGGAAGCCUGAUGCAGCGACGCCGCGUGAGGGAUGACGGCCUUCGGGUUGUAAACCUCCUUCAGCAGGGACGAAGCGUAAGUGACGGUACCUGCAGAAGAAGCACCGGCUAACUAUGUG